RNAcentral lists this ribosomal RNA (531 nucleotides) under uncultured bacterium. RNAcentral's name for it is "bacterial SSU rRNA". It matches the Rfam family "Bacterial small subunit ribosomal RNA", at positions 335 to 859 of the family's 1533-position model. The record is from RNAcentral.
UCUCCUACGGGAGGCAGCAGUGGGGAAUUUUGGACAAUGGGGGCAACCCUGAUCCAGCCAUGCCGCGUGUCUGAAGAAGGCCUUCGGGUUGUAAAGGACUUUUGUCAGGGAGGAAAUCCUGGUCGUUAAUAGCGAUCGGGGAUGACAGUACCUGAAGAAUAAGCACCGGCUAACUACGUGCCAGCAGCCGCGGUAAUACGUAGGGUGCGAGCGUUUAUCGGAAUUACUGGGCGUAAAGCGUGCGCAGGCGGUUGUGCAAGUCUGAUGUGAAAGCCCCGGGCUUAACCUGGGAACGGCAUUGGAGACUGCACGACUAGAGUACGUCAGAGGGGGGUAGAAUUCCACGUGUAGCAGUGAAAUGCGUAGAGAUGUGGAGGAAUACCGAUGGCGAAGGCAGCCCCCUGGGAUGAUACUGACGCUCAUGCACGAAAGCGUGGGGAGCAAACAGGAUUAGAUACCCUGGUAGUCCACGCCCUAAACGAUGUCAAUUAGCUGUUGGGGGUUUGAAUCCUUGGUAGCGUAGCUAACGCG